This 253-nucleotide ribosomal RNA is filed under the name uncultured bacterium. Its description in RNAcentral is "partial 16S ribosomal RNA". It matches the Rfam family "Bacterial small subunit ribosomal RNA", at positions 524 to 776 of the family's 1533-position model. The record is from RNAcentral.
UACGGAGGGGGCUAGCGUUGUUCGGAAUUACUGGGCGUAAAGAGCGCGUAGGCUGUUUACCAAGUCAGGUGUGAAAGCCCGAGGCUUAACCUCGGAAUUGCACUUGAAACUAGUAGACUAGAAAUCGGUAGAGGAUAGUGGAAUUCCCAGUGUAGAGGUGAAAUUCGUAGAUAUUGGGAGGAACACCGGAGGCGAAGGCGGCUAUCUGGACCGACUUUGACGCUGAGGCGCUAAAGCGUGGGGAGCAAACCGG